CGGAGGGUGCAAGCGUUAUCCGGAUUCACUGGGUUUAAAGGGUGUGUAGGCGGGUAGUUAAGUCAGUGGUGAAAUCUCCGGGCUCAACCUGGAAACUGCCAUUGAUACUAUCUAUCUUGAAUUUUGUUGAGGUAGGCGGAAUAUGUCAUGUAGCGGUGAAAUGCAUAGAUAUGACAUAGAACACCAAUUGCGAAGGCAGCUUACUAAGCAAAUAUUGACGCUGAGGCACGAAAGCGUGGGGAUCAAACAGGAUUAGAUACCCUGGUAGUCCACGCCCUAAACGAUGAUUACUCGACAUACGCGAUACACAGUGUGUGUCUGAGCGAAAGCAUUAACGUAAUCCACCUGGGAAGUACGUCCGCAAGGAUG
Molecule: ribosomal RNA, 369 nt
Filed under: uncultured organism
Description: bacterial SSU rRNA
Rfam family: Bacterial small subunit ribosomal RNA
Source: RNAcentral